Molecule: ribosomal RNA, 385 nt
Filed under: uncultured bacterium
Lineage: Bacteria
Description: bacterial SSU rRNA
Rfam family: Bacterial small subunit ribosomal RNA
Source: RNAcentral
GGUGCAAGCGUUAAUCGGAAUUACUGGGCGUAAAGCGUGCGCAGGCGGUUCUGUAAGUCUGACGUGAAAUCCCCGGGCUCAACCUGGGAAUUGCGUUGGAGACUGCAAGGCUGGAAUCUGGCAGAGGGGGGUAGAAUUCCACGUGUAGCAGUGAAAUGCGUAGAGAUGUGGAGGAACACCGAUGGCGAAGGCAGCCCCCUGGGUCAAGAUUGACGCUCAUGCACGAAAGCGUGGGGAGCAAACAGGAUUAGAUACCCUGGUAGUCCACGCCCUAAACGAUGUCUACUAGUUGUCGGGUUUUAAUUAACUUGGUAACGCAGCUAACGCGUGAAGUAGACCGCCUGGGGAGUACGGUCGCAAGAUUAAAACUCAAAGGAAUUGACGG